Molecule: ribosomal RNA, 440 nt
Filed under: uncultured bacterium
Lineage: Bacteria
Description: partial 16S ribosomal RNA
Rfam family: Bacterial small subunit ribosomal RNA
Source: RNAcentral
CCUACGGGAGGCAGCAGUGGGGAAUAUUGCACAAUGGGGGAAACCCUGAUGCAGCGACGCCGCGUGAGUGAAGAAGUAUUUCGGUAUGUAAAGCUCUGUCAGCAGGGAAGAAAAUGACGGUACCGGACAAAGAAGGCCCGGCUAACUACGUGCAAGCAGCCGCGGGAACACGUAGGGGGCAAGCGUUAUCCGGAUUUACUGGUGGUAAGGGGAGCGUAGACGGCAGGGCAAGGCUGGGGUGAAAGGCGGGGGCUCAACCCCCGUACUGCUCUGGAAACUGCCAGGCUGGAGUGCAGGAGAGGUAAGUGGAAUUCCUAGUGUAGCGGUGAAAUGCGUAGAUAUUAGGAGGAACACCAGUGGCGAAGGCGACUUACUGGACUGUAACUGACGUUGAGGCUCGAAAGCGUGGGGAGCAAACAGGAUUAGAUACCCCAGUAGUC